RNAcentral lists this ribosomal RNA (447 nucleotides) under uncultured Anaerolineaceae bacterium. Its description in RNAcentral is "bacterial SSU rRNA". It matches the Rfam family "Bacterial small subunit ribosomal RNA", at positions 919 to 1382 of the family's 1533-position model. Lineage: Bacteria; Bacillati; Chloroflexota; Anaerolineae; Anaerolineales; Anaerolineaceae. The record is from RNAcentral.
ACCCGCACAAGCAGCGGAGCGUGUGGUUUAAUUCGUUGCUACACGAAGAACUUACCUGGUUUGACAUAUAGGUUGUAGGGAACUGAAAAGGGACCGACCCUUCGGGGAGCCUAUACAGGUGUUGCAUGGCUGUCGUCAGCUCGUGUCGUGAGAUGUUCGGUUAAGUCCGCUAACGAGCGCAACCCUCGUCGUAUGUUAUAUGUGUCAUACGAGACUGCCGGUAAAAGCCGGAGGAAGGUGAGGAUGAUGUCAAGUCAGCAUGACCUUUAUAUCCAGGGCUACACACACGCUACAAUGGUCUGUACAAUGGGUAGCCAAGCCGCGAGGCGGAGCCAAUCCUGAAAGCAGGCCUCAGUUCAGAUUGCAGUCUGCAACUCGACUGCAUGAAGCCGGAGUUGCUAGUAACCGCAGGUCAGCAAUACUGCGGUGAAUACGUUCCCGGGUCUU